Molecule: ribosomal RNA, 460 nt
Filed under: uncultured bacterium
Lineage: Bacteria
Description: partial 16S ribosomal RNA
Rfam family: Bacterial small subunit ribosomal RNA
Source: RNAcentral
CCUACGGGGGGCAGCAGUGAGGAAUAUUGGUCAAUGGACGAGAGUCUGAACCAGCCAAGUAGCGUGAAGGAUGACUGCCCUAUGGGUUGUAAACUUCUUUUAUAUGGGAAUAAAAUGUUCCACGUGUGGGAUUUUGUAUGUACCAUAUGAAUAAGGAUCGGCUAACUCCGUGCCAGCAGCCGCGGUAAUACGGAGGAUCCGAGCGUUAUCCGGAUUUAUUGGGUUUAAAGGGCGCGUAGGUGGAUUUUUAAGUCAGUUGUGAAAGUUUGCGGCUCAACCGUAAAAUUGCAGUUGAAACUGGCAGUCUUGAGUACAGUAGAGGUGGGCGGAAUUCGUGGUGUAGCGGUGAAAUGCUUAGAUAUCACGAAGAACUCCGAUUGCGAAGGCAGCUCACUGGACUGAAACUGACACUGAGGCUCGAAAGUGUGGGUAGCAAACAGGAUUAGAUACCCUGGUAGUC